UACGUAGGGUGCAAGCGUUGUCCGGAAUUAUUGGGCGUAAAGAGCUCGUAGGCGGUCUGUCGCGUCGGCUGUGAAAACUCGGGGCUCAACUCCGAGCUUGCAGUCGAUACGGGCAGGCUAGAGUUCGGCAGGGGAGACUGGAAUUCCUGGUGUAGCGGUGAAAUGCGCAGAUAUCAGGAGGAACACCGGUGGCGAAGGCGGGUCUCUGGGCCGAUACUGACGCUGAGGAGCGAAAGCAUGGGGAGCAAACAGG
RNAcentral lists this ribosomal RNA (253 nucleotides) under uncultured bacterium. RNAcentral describes it as "partial 16S ribosomal RNA". It matches the Rfam family "Bacterial small subunit ribosomal RNA", at positions 524 to 776 of the family's 1533-position model. The record is from RNAcentral.